CAGAAAAUAGUUUAUAAAAAUAUUAACUUUGGAAGUUAAAGAAGAGUAGAAUACUUUUUUCUGA
RNAcentral lists this transfer RNA (64 nucleotides) under Aquatica wuhana. RNAcentral's name for it is "tRNA-Pro". Lineage: Eukaryota; Metazoa; Arthropoda; Insecta; Coleoptera; Lampyridae. The record is from RNAcentral.